This 235-nucleotide long non-coding RNA is filed under the name Sorghum bicolor (sorghum). RNAcentral describes it as "long non-coding RNA (SBIC_LNC008044)". The record is from RNAcentral. Lineage: Eukaryota; Viridiplantae; Streptophyta; Magnoliopsida; Poales; Poaceae.
GUCUCACAUAUAGUUUCAUAAAUUUGAGUGAGAUUACAUGAUGACUAGAGUUUACAUGAUGAAUGACAAAUACAAUCUAGGCAGUUACUAUUCUUUCUUGUCCAUCAGCGCGCACCCAAGGCAAAGAACUUUGUGAGAUGCUUCGCUCAAUAUUUCUUAUCUUAGCAGGAUAGUCAUCCACAAAGAGGGACAUGUCGCUGAACUGGUUAAAAUCCUCCAGAUCCGCUACACCAUC